UACCCUCCUAUCCACUGCCUCCCCCUCCGGGAUCGGCAGAGCUAGGACGCGCUCAGCAAGGUGCUCCCCGAAUACCUGUCGAACAAGACUGGCGUCUCACCUCCGCUCCCCCUGGGCAAAUAAGGCACACACUCUACGUCCCUCCAUCCAUCCGUGGUCAAUCUCGGUGGGCCACCCCUGUAGUGCUACCUCAUCCAACCAUCUGUCCUCCAAAAUGCAGAUCGACCGCCCA
Molecule: long non-coding RNA, 232 nt
Filed under: Phoenix dactylifera (date palm)
Lineage: Eukaryota; Viridiplantae; Streptophyta; Magnoliopsida; Arecales; Arecaceae
Description: long non-coding RNA (PDAC_LNC013613)
Source: RNAcentral